Molecule: ribosomal RNA, 488 nt
Filed under: uncultured bacterium
Lineage: Bacteria
Description: bacterial SSU rRNA
Rfam family: Bacterial small subunit ribosomal RNA
Source: RNAcentral
GUCUGUCUUAAAAGUUCGGGGCUUAACCCCGUGAUGGGAUGGAAACUGCUGAUCUAGAGUAUCGGAGAGGAAAGUGGAAUUCCUAGUGUAGCGGUGAAAUGCGUAGAUAUUAGGAAGAACACCAGUGGCGAAGGCGACUUUCUGGACGAAAACUGACGCUGAGGCGCGAAAGCCAGGGGAGCGAACGGGAUUAGAUACCCCGGUAGUCCUGGCCGUAAACGAUGGGUACUAGGUGUAGGAGGUAUCGACCCCUUCUGUGCCGGAGUUAACGCAAUAAGUACCCCGCCUGGGGAGUACGACCGCAAGGUUGAAACUCAAAGGAAUUGACGGGGGCCCGCACAAGCGGUGGAGUAUGUGGUUUAAUUCGACGCAACGCGAAGAACCUUACCAGGUCUUGACAUUGAUGGACAGAACUAGAGAUAGUUCCUCUUCUUCGGAAGCCAGAAAACAGGUGGUGCACGGUUGUCGUCAGCUCGUGUCGUGAGAAG